Molecule: non-coding RNA, 3039 nt
Organism: Camelina sativa (false flax)
Lineage: Eukaryota; Viridiplantae; Streptophyta; Magnoliopsida; Brassicales; Brassicaceae
Source: RefSeq, a predicted model, not a curated record
GAAGGUUUCAGAUUCAUCAAGGCGCUUGAACUGUUUUAAGCUAGUGUGUGAGAGACCUUCUAAGCCAAAUUGAGGGGUUUUGAGUUCACAGUUUAAAGUGAUACACAUGAUCUGGCAUUUGACGGGUUGUUAUAAAGGCCGUUAAGCUUAGGGAGGAAAUCUUAAUUGGCUCUAUAAGUGGCUAGCUCUGCUCUUGAGAUGUGUGUAAAAUCUUCCAUUGCUAUGAAAUUGUGAAGUGCUGCGUUUGUGCCGUUACCGUCGGAACUGAACCUGAAAACAAUACCGCAACUGGUAAAAAUAGGAAGGAGAGUUAUAUGAGUCUUGGUGAAGAAAAGUAUAACACAGGUUAGGAGAAACGUAUCAACUCAGAAGGUGACUUGGCUUACACUCAUCCUGAUGUCACUUUAUGUUAAUGAUUCAGAUCCAAAGGAUGAAUGAGUGUAAGUAACUCACUGCUGCACUCACCAUAUAACCUCUAAAUGAUAAUGCAUGGUUUACUACAUAUUUUGAAGAGAAUUGUAGGAGGAACAAUAUUAAUAGGUAAAGGUAAUAGAGUAAAACGUUCUAGACAGAGAAAGCUUCGAGAGAUCAACGGAGAGAGCACUUGAACGGUGGCUUGUGGUUGAUUUCAACCCCGAUCUCUGCAUCAAUUCUGAGGCGAUUCAUGCCAUAUUCAUCAUUAAACCAGUGAAGUCAUCAUUCCCAGGUGUCUACUCCCGUGUUCCGCCUCAUUCCAAGCCGAGAUAGACGCAAUCAAACUAUUUUGUCCUUAUGUUUGGUCGGGCACCGAGCCUAAAAAGGAUCGUCCAAGAAAAGCUCGAGCUCCGUCAAAAAAGAAGACAGCCAAGGCAAUGGGAAGACUGAACAUGAUCGUUCCAGACGCGUCUGCCCGCUAUCGCCGAACCCCCAAGGCGACUCCACUGCCUUGUCCAGAUAACCGAUCAGAUACUGGUCCAGAGGUCCGAAUUGUUGAUGUUGGCUCGUCUCGGAACGCUCCUUCUCCUUAGGGUCGUCGACCGGCCAAGAUUCACGAGGGCAAACAGCUUGCCAAAACCAACCCUCUCCCCUCCAAUCGCCACACUGGACCCGUCGAGACGCUCCCCUCAAAACGGAAGGUCAACGAGACUCCCAGUUGCCAAGUCGAGGCGACCAAAAUUCCUCAGAAGAGGAAGGAGGGUACUGGUCAGGAGCGGCCUGAUCCUUCGAAGAAGCCGAAGACAACAGAUUACCGUUGGGACUUCUCUCACACUUCUGCUGCUCGGUGCUUUCCAGACGAUUCCGAAUCCUGCGCCGAGCUGUUUUGUAGAAUUCAUUUCGGCUCUGGUCGCCUUCUGCCCAUUGAACGGAUGAAAGAGGAAGAAGCGGUCACCGACCUUGCCCAGACUGUCUUCGAUCUUAUUGCGCGCACAAAUCACAUGACCUCGUGCUACGAGCGUCGCAUUCGCGAUUUGGAGGUCUCCUGCUUGAACCCUUUGGACCCUUCGGAAAGGAUUGAGCGCCUUAAAGCUCAGCUCGGGGAAGCCAUUCGCCCUAAUCGAGCGACCAGGUUUCAAAGCUCGAACACCACCGUCGCGGGUUAAUCUCGGAAAGGGACGACCUUCUUUCAAAGCUUAAAGCGUCUGAUUCCUCUUAUAAUGGGCUUCGACUCACCCUUAGCCCGGAGACCAAAAAGCUUAGGGACCGUCGCGAGGAGUUUGGCGUCUUUGAAAGGAUCGCCUGCCAUCAACUAGCCGGUCGCGCACAGAGACCACUGUCGAAGCACAAGGAAUACGCAGGUGCGAUUGAAGCGUCUAGGGUGAAGUUCCUUGAAGACAACCAAGCCGUUGGGAAUGUGCAGAUGCUUGAGAUGCUUCUUACUGAUGGCCAGAUUUCUCUUCUCGCUGAUGGGGUCAAGGAGAAGGUCGUUGUCGUGAUGUCCCAGCUGAAGGCGAGGUUGAAGAGAUCGAUAUUCCUGAUAUCGCCGAAGCCGACUUCGACAUUUCCUUGGUUUUUGCCGAGCCUCUUCCCGCGAUCCCUAAAUGUGUCAGGUCUCCAGAAAGUGGGGAUACCGAAGAGCAGGACGACGAGCCUGAGGUCGACGGGUCAGAGAGUGAAGACAUCCAAACUGACAGGGGUGAAGGGGCGAAUGAGGAGGGAAUGGACGUCCCGCAAGAUGGUCGUCGGGAUGAUGGCACUCCUCCGACUCCUGGACGUGAUUCUCUGGUUACCGGCCUUAUGUCUUGAUUUUAGUUUCGUUUCGUACUAGCUCGUCGUGUUUGGGGUUGGCUCCCCGUACUUUUUCUUUUGCUUUCUUUUGGACCUUGCUCUUUAUCGGAUCUUUUAAUCUUUUGUUAUCACAUAUUUUUUAGCUUUAUGACUUGUGUUGAUCAUUCAGUGGGUGUGGCUUUUGAGAACCAUCGAUUGGUCGCUUGUGAGGUCAUUCAUAUGCAUGUGACAACGAGGUCGGUGUGGUUGAGGAGAGCUCGGGAGCGGUUGGUUGUGAGGUACAUUCGCUCUCCGGUGAUGAAGUAAUUCGUGCAGAGAUCAAGUCAUAUGAUGCUUGGAUCCAGAUGCUAAGGGCCUAUAUCAUUGCCACGCGCCGCCAGUUCGAGCGUCACUUCCAGUUCUGCCGUGUUGACGGGACUGUGGAAUAUCUUGAGCAUAUGAUUGCUGAUGGGCUCUUUGUUUCGAAGUUGAGGAGGGAUCAGUUGCUGGAAGAGCGUUUGCGCAGCGAGGCACUCUUGGCCGAGGCAGAGGUUCCCGAUCUUGAAGAGGGUAAUCUUGAACCCUUUACGAGGAUGGUCGCCAGGGGUGCGGAGGUUCCGAUGAAGACGUUAGAAGAGUUGUGAGGAGAGUGCUAGUUCUGGCGGACGAAGCAAGGUGAGCUGGAGUUUGACGAACCCUCCAAUGCCGACCUGGGGUUAGAAGGCUGAAAUCGCCUUACGUGCAAUGUUUGCUUGUUUUGUUUCAUUUUUGUGCCGUAUGGGGUUCGCCUCCCUUCGUAAACUAUUGUUGAACUAGGGGUCGACGCCCUUUUAAAUUUUAACGUAGUUUUUUUCG